RNAcentral lists this ribosomal RNA (637 nucleotides) under uncultured archaeon. Its description in RNAcentral is "bacterial SSU rRNA". It matches the Rfam family "Archaeal small subunit ribosomal RNA", at positions 175 to 817 of the family's 1478-position model. The record is from RNAcentral.
AUGCUUUGUAGUCGAAAGGUCCGCCGCCGUAUGAUGGGUCUGCGGCCGAUUAGGUUGUUGUUGGGGUAACGGCCCAACAAGCCUGUAAUCGGUACGGGUUGUGGGAGCAAGAGCCCGGAGAUGGAUUCUGAGACACGAAUCCAGGCCCUACGGGGCGCAGCAGGCGCGAAAACUUUACAAUGCGGGAAACCGUGAUAGGGGAACUCUGAGUGCCCGUUAAAUCGGGCUGUCCAUCAGUUUAAAUAACUGGUGAAGAAAGGGCCGGGCAAGACCGGUGCCAGCCGCCGCGGUAAUACCGGCGGCUCGAGUGGUGGCCACUAUUACUGGGCUUAAAGCGUUCGUAGCUGGUUUGUUAAGUCUCUGGGGAAAUCUUCCGGCUUAACCGGAAGGCGUCUCAGGGAUACUGGCAGACUAGGGACCGGGAGAGGUGAGGGGUACUCCAGGGGUAGGAGUGAAAUCCUGUAAUCCUUGGGGGACCACCUGUGGCGAAGGCGCCUCACCAGAACGGCUCCGACAGUGAGGGACGAAAGCUGGGGGAGCAAACCGGAUUACAUACCCGGGUAGUCCCAGCUGUAAACGAUGCGCGUUAGGUGUAUCGAUGACCACGAGUCAUCGAGGUGCCGAAGAGAAAUCGUGA